AAAAUGUUACCUGAAGCAACAAUUGGAAAUUCAUAAAAGUAAAGUAAAAAACCACUUAUCAAGCUUAAAUCUACGAUUAAGGUAUAGAUUGACACUAGGGCUUAGUUCUUGCCCCGUGUUCUUGAGAGCAAUUGUGCUGCUCCUUAUCAUCCUUUUUAUUAUAAUAUAAAUUCCAGCAGCUCAUGCAAAAGAACUGGCCAUCGAGCUCUUUCUUAUGUUUAUCUUCCGCGUGCUUUAUAACUCCAUUCUUGAGCAGAAAUUCUUUGUGGCAUAAAUAGCAGAGGUAGUGUUCCGCUUGGACAUGUUGUAGUCCUUCGUGUUUGUCGAGCUCUUCCUUAUUAGUUGCUAUAUAUUCACACUUAUCACGGUUGAACGACAUCUAUAAAAAUGCAAAAGAAAAACAUGAUGAAAUGUAAACGUUAAGCAAAGGACAACCAUACAAAAAAGAGAAGGGAAACAGAGACAAGUAAAAGAAAACCAUAAACAUAAACCUUUUGAUAAAUAGAUACGAAAUGCACAGAUCGG
This 525-nucleotide long non-coding RNA is filed under the name Malus domestica (apple). RNAcentral's name for it is "long non-coding RNA (MDOM_LNC001192)". Lineage: Eukaryota; Viridiplantae; Streptophyta; Magnoliopsida; Rosales; Rosaceae. The record is from RNAcentral.